AACGAACGCUGGCGGCAUGCCUAACACAUGCAAGUCGAACGAGACCUUCGGGUCUAGUGGCGAACGGGUGCGUAACGCGUGGGAACCUGCCCUUAGGUUCGGAAUAACUCCCCGAAAGGGGUGCUAAUACCGGAUAAUGUCUUCGGACCAAAGAUUUAUCGCCUUUGGAUGGGCCCGCGUUGGAUUAGCUAGUUGGUAGGGUAAAAGCCUACCAAGGCGACGAUCCAUAGCUGGUCUGAGAGGAUGAUCAGCCACACUGGGACUGAGACACGGCCCAGACUCCUACGGGAGGCAGGAGUGGGGAAUAUUGGACAAUGGGCGAAAGCCUGAUCCAGCAAUGCCGCGUGAGUGAUGAAGGCCUUAGGGUUGUAAAGCUCUUUUACCCGGGAUGAUAAUGACAGUACCGGGAGAAUAAGCACCGGCUAACUCCGUG
Molecule: ribosomal RNA, 433 nt
Filed under: uncultured bacterium
Lineage: Bacteria
Description: partial 16S ribosomal RNA
Rfam family: Bacterial small subunit ribosomal RNA
Source: RNAcentral